AGUGAACGCUGGCGGUAGGCCUAACACAUGCCAGUCGAACGGCAGCACAGUAAGAGCUUGCUCUUACGGGUGGCGAGUGGCGGACGGGUGAGGAAUACAUCGGAAUCUACUUUUUCGGGGGGGAUAACGUAGGGAAACUUACGCUAAUACCGCAUACGACCUACGGGUGAAAGCAGGGGAUCUUCGGACCUUGCGCGAUUGAAUGAGCCGAUGUCGGAUUAGCUAGUUGGCGGGGUAAAGGCCCACCAAGGCGACGAUCCGUAGCUGGUCUGAGAGGAUGAUCAGCCACACUGGAACUGAGACACGGUCCAGACUCCUACGGUAGGCAGCAGUGGGGAAUAUUGGACAAUGGGCGCAAGCCUGAUCCAGCCAUACCGCGUGGGUGAAGAAGGCCUUCGGGUUGUAAAGCCCUUUUGUUGGGAAAGAAAAGCAGCAGGUUAAUACCCCGCUGUUCUGACGGUACCCAAAGAAUAAGCACCGGCUAACUUCGUG
RNAcentral lists this ribosomal RNA (492 nucleotides) under uncultured bacterium. RNAcentral's name for it is "partial 16S ribosomal RNA". It matches the Rfam family "Bacterial small subunit ribosomal RNA", at positions 29 to 507 of the family's 1533-position model. The record is from RNAcentral.